CCAGCGAACUUGGCAGAGAUGCCUUGGUGCCUUCGGGAACGCUGAGACAGGUGCUGCAUGGCUGUCGUCAGCUCGUGUUGUGAAAUGUUGAGUUAAGUCCCGCAACGAGCGCAACCCUUAUCCUUUGUUGCCAGCGAUUCGGUCGGGAACUCAAAGGAGACUGCCGGUGAUAAACCGGAGGAAGGUGGGGAUGACGUCAAGUCAUCAUGGCCCUUACGAGUAGGGCUACACACGUGCUACAAUGGCGCAUACAAAGAGAAGCGACCUCGCGAGAGCAAGCGGACCUCAUAAAGUGCGUCGUAGUCCGGAUCGGAGUCUGCAACUCGACUCCGUGAAGUCGGAAUCGCUAGUAAUCGUGGAUCAGAAUGCCACGGUGAAUACGUUCCCGGGCCUUGUACACACCGCCCGUCACACCAUGGGAGUGGGUUGCAAAAGAAGUAGGUAGCUUAACCCUCGGGAGGGCGCUUACCACUUUGUGAUUCAUGACUGGGGUGAAGUCGUAACAAGGUAAGCGUAGUGCU
RNAcentral lists this ribosomal RNA (521 nucleotides) under uncultured bacterium. Its description in RNAcentral is "bacterial SSU rRNA". It matches the Rfam family "Bacterial small subunit ribosomal RNA", at positions 988 to 1509 of the family's 1533-position model. The record is from RNAcentral.